Long non-coding RNA from Clupea harengus (Atlantic herring), 2760 nucleotides. Lineage: Eukaryota; Metazoa; Chordata; Actinopteri; Clupeiformes; Clupeidae. The record is from Ensembl.
AGGGCUAAAUUGGCCAAUACCUAUACACCUAUAUUUCAACGCAUCACGCUAAAACUGGCUCCCUCAACUGGCUACCUCAAGUGGCUUAUUCACGGUUGCAUUAAGGAAACUAACAAGCGAGAAGUUAGUAGUCUAAGAUGCAAAGUAAAACCAAUUUAUUCAAAUCACCAGCAGUGUUCCACUCGUGGGUGAGUAAAUGAGCGGAUAGCAUAGAAUGGUUAACAUAACGUAAAUCAAAAUCACCAAAUGGACCGGAAAAGAAUAGGAAUACCAAUGAGGAAUGUGCCAGGAAGAUGAUCCGAACGAGGAAUUCCACAACUGAAGGAAAGGUACAAGUUUAGCCUUAACUGUCGGAAGGAUUUCGAAAAUCUAGCAGUAUGAUAUUCUGGAAGUUUUGUAGGGAUGCCCCUGUGUCCCUUACAGACUGCAUCCUCCCUGUCUCCAGAAAUCCGCAUGGGAGGCACAAUGUGGUGGUCACAACGUGCUAGUGUGGCAUUUUUACGAUGCAGGGAUGCAUUCAUAGGGAACGUGUCCGGUCACAGCCCAACAAUCCAUGCACUGUACAAUCUACUGUGAGCAGGCAGGUGGACAGGACCACUCAGGGUUACAAAUGGAGCAUUGGUGUUUGGUGUUUAGUCACCUCCAACAAGGAUGCUUUUUUUUGACACAUGUGGGUGGAAAGGUGUAGAAUGGGCUAAGGAACUUUUUCUCUGUGCUCCCAAAUGUUGUCACUUGGUUGCACUAGUGCUCCUUAAAAAAGUAAGCAUUGAGCCCUCCCCGAGACUCAAAUGAUUUAGACAGACCGCCUUUCAAGAGACUGGGAGCACAUUGCACACUCAUCAGAAAUAGGCUAAAAAGAAGUACGGAUAUUUAAUCAGAAUCCAAAAAUCCUGCUAUAAGUGGCUCACUUUCACUGUGCCAGCAUUGAGCUUUGUGUUUUGUCAGAACGCAUUGAAAUGCAUAAUGUCUCCCAGUUUAAUAACCGAUCUCCCUCCAGCACUAUUCUUUGCUUUUUCUUUUAGCCGUCUCGGCCAUGUUUCCAUCGAGCUUUCCCAACAGAACAUACUAAAUGAUUUGAAUAAGGUUGUUUCUAGCUUUCCCAACAGAACAUACUAAAUUAUUUGAUUAAGGUUGUUUCUAGCUUUCCCGACGGAACAUACUAAAUUAUUUGAAUAAGGUUGUCUCUAGCUUUCCCAACAGAACAUACUAAAUGAUUUGAAUAAGGUUGUCUCUAGGUUAUUUACCAACGGAACAUACUAAAUGAUUUGAAUAAGGUUGUCUCUAGGUUAUUUACCAACGGAACGUACUAAAUGAUUUGAAUAAGGUUGUCUCUAGGUUAUUUACCAACGGAACAUACUAAAUUAUUUGAAUAAGGUUGUCUCUAGGUUAUUUGCACCUGAAUUCAUUGACAUCAUCAUCAUCGUUAGCAGAUCAAUCAUCAUCGUUAGCUGAUCACCUGCAAACACUAAAGCAACUGCUGUUGCAAUAUUGUAGCCUGAGCUAUUUUAUUAUUAUUAUUUUACUACUCGUUCUUUUAGACCUUCGUAAAUCAGGGACACAGGGACAGAAAAACUAAAAGACUGAAAGAAACAUAAAUGAGAGCUUACAAACACCUAGGGCACACGCAAUUAUCAAUUUCCCCAGGGAAAUUCCUCAGUAUGUGUUAAAUUACAAUAAAAAAAGAAAGAUGUGCUUACAGGCUUUGCCAUGUCAACUCCACUCCUGACUUCUGGGAUAAUGUUAUCCUCCACAAAGUUUGAGUCGGUGUCCUUGGUGGGAGAAGUGCUCAUGACACCAUCAUGUGAUCCCCCCCAUUCUGAACUAGUGUCCCCAGCAGAGUCUGUGGUGGGGGUUAUUGGGGUCCUGUCAUCAAAGAGCUUGCUGGUUAUUGCAUCAAAAACAUCCUCUGGGACUGUGGUCCCAUCUUCUUCUACAAUCACUGGUGUUGGCAUAGUUUUAUCUUCCACCUCAUCAUCAGAAUCUAUGAUGGUCUCUUCCAAAGUUGUGGUGACAACUGUGAUUGUUUCCUUAGUGCCUGAUACCAAGGCAGUGGUAUAUUCUUCAAUGACAUACACAGCUGUAAUCCCUCCCCCAGAUUGAGGUACUUCAUCAGCAGACUGGGUAGUUGCGUUUUUUCCUUCCAUAAUGUCAUAAUGGUCAACACUAGUGGUUUGAGAGGGCAGUGCCUCUGAAUCGGACCUUUCCAUGCGAGGUGUAAAUCUAGUGAUUGGAAAUAAUGAGACGGAGCUAGGCGGCGUGCUGGCAGCAAUUGGAGUCUGCUGUGUAGUUCUGAGCGGUGCAUCUUUUCUCCAGGAGAUUUCAGUGACAUUGGUGAGAGUGACAGUGCCUCCUUGAUUAUUAGCAACAUCUGUGGACGAAAGGAUUCAAAACAACUGAAACCUUUAACUCAACAGUGUGUGUCAGCACAAGGUACAAGGUCAUUAUUUAAAAAAAGAAAAUUCUCAGGUAUGUGAAAGGUCAGCAUAUGCUUACCAUCCUGUCCUAAACCAGAGCCUGAACCAGAGAAUUCCAGGUCAUCUCCAGAUGUGUCCAGGUCCUCUGGGACACUGGCAGAGUACUAAAAGGGGAAGGAAAACAGGACAAGUGAGGUUUCUGGGCUUGAGACUGACAAAGUUGACAAAAUAAUUGACCUUACAUGAAUUGGCGCCAUCUGAUUGAGGAUGGUACCUAUCGUACCUACAUACAUUAGGUCAUCUCUGUUUACCAGGUGGGCCUUUUUGCCAUUUAACUGCAGAGGGG